Labeo rohita (rohu) is the source of this 2165-nucleotide long non-coding RNA. RefSeq lists it as uncharacterized. NCBI's taxonomy places the organism in Eukaryota, Metazoa, Chordata, Actinopteri, Cypriniformes, Cyprinidae. The transcript is spliced from 3 exons. The record is from RefSeq and is a predicted model, not a curated record.
UCCUGAAUCUGUCCCUCACCUCUGACCUAGUGCCGGAUCAGGACGUGAUCGAUGUCAUCAUACACGUAGGCCGCAAUCCGCUUGGAAGACAUUUAGCAUGGAGAUAUUUUCGUGAGAAGUGGGACAUAUUGAAUUCCAGGUAUGGAGAGGCCUUAUUUAUGAACUCAAAAUUAAUCAGCGGCGUGACAGAGUUUCUCAACACCGAGGCCGAAUUGAAUGAGCUGAAAGAGUUCAUCCUGACCAGCGGGGGAGAGUCAGCACCUGCGUUCGCUCGAGCCAUUGAGAUUGUUCAAGCUAAUGUAAAAUGGCACAUCCUGUUCCAGGAACAGUUUUACCGCUGGCUGCGGAAAGCUCCUGACGGUUAAUGCAACAUUAAGCAUGGAGCGCUCUAUUAGCAUGGAAACUCAUGGCCAGUGACGUGGGGAGAUUUAAGCAGAAAAAAAAAUGAAAAAACUAUUCUGGGCUAUGAGAAUCAUCAAAAUUGAGCUUUUCCCUGCUGUUUUUGAAACAACCAGACCCUCUCAGACCAGGAUGAAAUGAAUGGCUGAAAAAUACUGAAGGCAUCAACGUCGGAAAUUGCAUGGUGGCAUACGUCGAUAGCGACAGACGAUUUACAUUCCAUUUCCCCUUGUAUUUUGCAUGAAAGUCAUUUCCUUCCUGCCGUCAUUCUGUUUGCUGAAGUUUGACCUUUUCUGAGUCCUAAGAAUAUCGGAUUUGCUUUGAAGACCAGACGACGGUACAAAGAGAUUGCUCUUCGGUCUAUAUAAACAAUUUAGAUUAAGCACAAAGAUGUGACAAUCAGUAUUUUGAUUGGAACAGGACAAGGAGGACAAAGAGGAGAAGUAUUCAUGUAGCCUUUUCUCUCUCCAAAGCCAUAAAGAGGAGCAGACUGAAUUUUAUCUCUUGUACAGAUGGCGUUUAUUGUUUGAUCAACUGAUGCCGCUCAACGGGCAUCAGAAGUGGGAUUCUUUGUUUGGAGGGUUUUCUGCAGGUCCUGGCUGGAGCAGUGAUGGUUUAACCCGCAGGUGUCUUGGAUCAUUUGCAUUCUCAUAGUGUUACUCUUUGCUCUCCAGUUUGGGAGGCUUUGUCCUUGAAUAUGGUAUGUUUGUCUGAGUGAAAAAAAAAAAUCAGUGUGUCGAUAUUUUCAUGUUUGGUUUAUUGAUAAGCUGGAAGGAGUUCAAUGCAGUGCACAGAUGUUGUUUUGAGUCGUGGAUAAUGUGAGCUUCUGAAAUGGAUGGUUGUCAUGGAGACCAAUUAUACAGGUUUUCAUAGGUUUAUCUUCUUUUUUUGUUGUUUUUUUUGUAAUUUCUUUUUCUUUUUUACAUGAACAUGAAUGGUUAAAUGUGCAGUGUUGAAAAUAAUGUAGUGGUUGACCAAUAUACAGGUUUCUGUAUGUUUGAAUUGUUUUCCAGUAAGAAUAUUCAAAACAAAAUAUCAGUUAAACAAGACAAAUUUACAUUUGAAGCAAAAUUGUGUAAUAUAUGUUGCUUUUCAGAGGAUAUAUCUUGAAUUCUAUUUAUUUUUCUUACUCAGAUUGUUUCCUUUGUUUUUUAAGCAUCUAUCUGUGCAUUUUUGCUUCUCAGGUAAAUUUAUCUUGUUUUAAUGAUGCCCAAUGAGCAAUGAUCAAUCACAAAAACAAUUACCAACAAUCAUAAGUAGUAUUAACACAUUUUAAUUGGCCAAUCUGAAAAAUGGACAGAUAUCAGCCAGUUGUUCAUCCUGGUCGAUAUAUUGGUCCAUCACUACUGUAUGUGACUCUCAGGCUUGGGCAAAAUUCAGAAUUGAAGAACUUGAAGAAUUACAAAGACAUUAGAGGAAUUUCAUCAGUCCGACUCAAGGUUGGCAACAAAAUAAAAAUAAUUACAUCAUUAAUUUGAACUAAUCAUCCCUGUUUAUUCCCUGAAUACGUUUACUCAAUUGAUUAUUAUGACUUGAAAUGAUUAUGACUUAACUUAACUUAUUUUUCUAAAUUAAGGUCAAUAUAAAAGUUGAUAAUAUUGAUUAUAUAUUAAAUUAACUAACUAAAAAAACAACAAUUACAAUUAAAGUUGUAUUAAUUCUGUUAAGAUUUUUCUGCACUGGGACGACGUGAAAUAUUUUGUUAGUAGUGGUGUAAAAUGAUUCAUGAUUAAUCGCAUCCAAAAUAAAAGUUUCUGUUUACAUAA